UACGGAGGAGGCAAGCGUUAUCCGGAAUUAUUGGGCGUAAAGCGUCCGUAGGUGGUUUAGUAAGUCUGCUGUUAAAGCGCGGGGCUUAACUCCGUAUCGGCAGUGGAAACUACUAGACUAGAGUGUGGUAGGGGUAGAGGGAAUUCCCAGUGUAGCGGUGAAAUGCGUAGAUAUUGGGAAGAACACCGGUGGCGAAGGCGGCUCACUGGUCCGGUACUGACGCUGAGGUGCGAAAGCGUGGGGAGCAAACAGG
Molecule: ribosomal RNA, 253 nt
Filed under: uncultured bacterium
Lineage: Bacteria
Description: partial 16S ribosomal RNA
Rfam family: Bacterial small subunit ribosomal RNA
Source: RNAcentral